GACCAAUAGGGAGAAGAGAACAAUUCAUGUUUGAGAGCGUUGAGAACCAAGGCCCAGAGAGGGAAAGUGAUUUGCCCAAGGCCCCUCGGCAAGUCUGGUGGUAAGGCAUAGAAUGAACUCCCCUUGUCUCCUGAUUCCCAGUCCUGGUUCUUUUCUGCAAACCACUGAGAAAAUGUCCAUAAACCUGCAGGCUGGGGACUAAGCAGAGGGUCCUUCACUCUUCUGGGUGCUUCCUGCCCUCCCCGUGGGUACCAGCAAUUCACGCUUUAUCCGGGAGGCCUCCAGGCUGCAGGAUGGGCUGCCUCUCGACUGGGCUGCGCUGAGUCUUCCUUUCGGAGAAGGCAAUGGCACCCCACUCCAGUAC
Long non-coding RNA from Bos taurus (domestic cattle), 364 nucleotides. The record is from Ensembl. NCBI's taxonomy places the organism in Eukaryota, Metazoa, Chordata, Mammalia, Artiodactyla, Bovidae.